This 2883-nucleotide ribosomal RNA is filed under the name Triticum aestivum (bread wheat). RNAcentral's name for it is "partial small subunit ribosomal RNA". Lineage: Eukaryota; Viridiplantae; Streptophyta; Magnoliopsida; Poales; Poaceae. The record is from RNAcentral.
AUGGAGAUGGUGGAGAAGCUUUCUCUCACCACAAGACCACAUCCACAUCCUUACUACAUCCAAUGGUUCAACAACAGCGGCAAGGUUAAGGUAACACGUACUGUUCGUGUGCAUUUUAGUAUCUCUACAUAUGCUGAUUAUGUUGAUUGUGAUGUGGUACCUAUGCAAGCAUGUUCCUUAUUACUUGGUAGACCAUGGCAAUUUGAUAAAAAUUCUGUACACCAUGGUAGAAACAAUCACUAUACUCUAGUUCAUAAGGAUAAAAAUAUUACUUUGCUUCCUAUGACUCCUGAUUCCAUUUUGAAAGAUGAUAUUAAUAGAGCUAAUAAAGCACAACAGGAGAAGAAUAAGACUGAAAAUCAGAUUGUGGCAAAAGAAUUUGAGCAACAAAUGAAGCCUAAUAAUAAACCAUCUAGUGUUGCUUCUGAAAUUAAAUUGAAAAGUGCAUGUUUAUUUGCCACCAAAUCUGAUAUUGAUGAGCUAGAUUUCAGCAAAUCUGUUUGCUAUGCUUUUGUGUGCAAAGAGGCAUUAUUUUCAUUCGAGGACGUGCCUUCCUCUUUGCCUCCUGCUGUCACUAACAUUCUGCAGGAGUUCGCUGACGUUUUUCCACAAGACGUGCCACCGGGAUUACCGCCUAUUCGAGGGAUUGAGCAUCAGAUUGACUUAAUUCCCGGUGCUUCACUGCCAAACCGUGCACCAUACCGUACCAAUCCAGAGGAGACGAAGGAGAUUAUGCGUCAAGUACAAGAGCUUCUCGACAAAGGUUAUAUACGCGAAUCCCUUAGUCCUUGUGUUGUUCCUAUUAUUCUAGUGCCGAAAAAGGAUGGUACAUCACGUAUGUGUGUUGAUUGUAGAGGCAUUAAUAAUAUUACUAUUCAUUAUCGUCAUCCUAUUCCUAGGCUAGAUGAUAUGCUUGAUGAAUUGAGUGGCUCUACAAUAUUCUCCAAAGUUGAUUUGCGUAGUGGCUACCAUCAAAUUCGUAUGAAAUUGGGAGAUGAAUGGAAAACAGCAUUUAAAACUAAGUUUGGAUUAUAUGAGUGGUUAGUCAUGCCUUUUGGGUUAACUAAUGCACCUAGUACUUUCAUGAGAUUAAUGAACGAAGUUUUACGUGCUUUCAUUGGACGAUUUGUGGUAGUUUACUUUGAUGACAUAUUGAUUUAUAGCAGAUCUUUGGAAGAACAUUUGGAACAUUUACGUGUUGUUUUUAUUGCUCUACGUGAUGCACGUUUGUUUGGUAACCUUGGGAAGUGCACCUUUUGCACCGACCGAGUAUCUUUUCUUGGCUAUCUUGUUACUCCACAGGGAAUUGAAGUUGAUAAAGCCAAGAUUGAAGCUAUUGAGAGUUGGCCGCAGCCCAAAACGGUCACACACGUGAGGAGUUUUCUUGGCCUCGCUGGAUUCUAUAGGCGUUUUGUGAGAGAUUUCAGCACCAUUGCUGCACCUCUCAAUGAGCUUACAAAGAAAGAUGUGCCUUUUCUUUGGGGUACCGCACAGGAAGAAGCCUUCUCCGUAUUGAAAGAUAAGUUGACACAUGCUCCUUUACUCCAACUUCCUGAUUUUAAUAAGACUUUUGAGCUUGAAUGUGAUGCUAGUGGAAUUGGAUUAGGAGGUGUGUUAUUACAAGAUGGCAAACCCGUUGCAUACUUUUCUGAAAAAUUGAGUGGGCCUAGUCUGAAUUAUUCUACUUAUGAUAAAGAAUUAUAUGCUCUUGUUCGGACUUUAGAAACAUGGCAACAUUAUUUAUGGCCCAAAGAAUUUGUUAUACAUUCUGAUCAUGAAUCUUUGAAACAUAUUAAAAGUCAAGCUAAACUGAAUCGUAGACAUGCUAAAUGGGUUGAAUUCAUUGAGACUUUCCCUUAUGUCAUUAAACAUAAGAAGGGAAAAGAAAAUGUUAUUGCUGAUGCAUUGUCUCGCCGCUAUACUAUGCUUUCACAACUUGACUUCAAAAUAUUUGGUUUGGAGACCAUCAAAGAUCAAUAUGUGCAUGAUGCUGAUUUUAAAGAUGUAAUGCAGAAUUGUAAAGAAGGAAGAAUGUGGAACAAGUUUCUCGUUAACGAUGGAUUUGUGUUUCGUGCUAACAAGCUAUGCAUUCCAGCUAGCUCCGUUCGUCUUUUGUUGUUGCAGGAGGCGCAUGGAGGAGGAUUAAUGGGACACUUUGGCGUGAAGAAGACGGAGGACGUACUUGCUACACAUUUCUUUUGGCCAAAGAUGAGACGGGAUGUUGAGCGUUUUAUUGCUCGAUGCACUACAUGUCAAAAAGCUAAGUCACGACUCAAUCCUCAUGGUUUAUAUAUGCCUUUGCCUGUACCUAGUGUUCCUUGGGAGGAUAUAUCUAUGGACUUUGUUUUAGGUUUACCUCGAACAAAGAAGGGGAGGGAUAGCAUAUUUGUUGUCGUGGAUAGAUUCUCGAAAAUGGCACACUUUAUACCAUGUCAUAAAAGCGAUGAUGCUGUUAAUGUUGCUGAUUUGUUCUUUCGUGAAAUUAUUCGCUUGCAUGGUGUGCCAAAUACUAAAUUUCUUAGCCACUUUUGGAGAUGUUUAUGGGCUAAGUUGGGGACUAAACUGCUUUUUAGUACUACUUGUCACCCCCAAACCGAUGGACAAACUGAAGUAGUCAAUAGAACGUUGUCUACUGUGCUUAGGGCUGUUUUGAAGAAUAAUAAGAAAAUGUGGGAGGAAUGCUUGCCUCAUAUUGAAUUUGCUUAUAAUCGUUCAUUGCAUUCUACUACUAAGAUGUGCCCUUUUGAAGUUGUGUAUGGUUUCCUACCUCGUGCACCUAUUGAUUUGUUGCCUCUUCCAUCUUCGGAGAAGGUUAAUUUUGAUGCUAAACAACGUGCUGAAUUGAUUUUAAAAAUGCAUGAGUUAACUAAGGAAAACAUUUAG